GAUGAAGAACGCAGCGAAAUGCGAUACGUAAUGUGAAUUGCAGAAUUCAGUGAAUCAUCGAAUCUUUGAACGCAUAUUGCGCUCUCUGGUAUUCCGGAGAGCAUGCUUGUUUGAGUAUCAGUAAACACCUCAACUUCCUUAUCUUUUUUUGAAAUGGGAGUUGGACUUGAGUGAUCCCAACGCUUUUCCUCACCGAAAAGUGGCGGGUUACUUGAAAUGCAGGUGCAGCUGGACUUUUCUCUGAGCUAUAAGCAUAUCUAUUUAGUCUGCCUAAAAAACAGAUUAUUACCUUUGCUGCAGCUAACAUAAAGGAGAUUAGUUCUUGUGCUGACUGAUGCAGGAUUCACAAAGACAGCUUCGGCCGACUUUGUAAACUCGAUCUCAAAUCAAGUAAGACUACCCGCUGAACUUAAGCAUAUCAAUAAGCGGAGGA
This 433-nucleotide unclassified non-coding RNA is filed under the name soil metagenome. Its description in RNAcentral is "partial contains 5.8S ribosomal RNA, internal transcribed spacer 2, and large subunit ribosomal RNA". The stretch from base 1 to 120 matches the Rfam family "5.8S ribosomal RNA", at positions 35 to 154 of the family's 154-position model. The record is from RNAcentral.